Small nucleolar RNA from Erpetoichthys calabaricus (reedfish), 70 nucleotides. Lineage: Eukaryota; Metazoa; Chordata; Cladistia; Polypteriformes; Polypteridae. The record is from Ensembl.
AGCCAAUGAUGAUGAAAUUUGUAUAAGAGUAGUGGACAGAAGUGAUUUCUGAAAAAACAUACCUGAGGCU